CAGGUGGGCCGGGCGUUCGCUGCGUCGAUUAUGACGUAGAGGAAAGUCCGAACUCCACAGGGCAGGGUGCCGGUUAACUGCCGGAAGGAGCAAUCCUUGAAAAGUGCCACAGAGAACAGACCGCCCAAGUGUCCGUCAAACCGGGCACCGGCAAGGGUGAAACGGCGCGGUAAGAGCGCACCGCCCUUCCGGUAACGGAAGGGGCACGGCAAACUCCACUCGGAGCAAGGCCAAGCAGCAGGCAUGGAUUGCCCGUCCGACGGUUGCUCCGUCUUCGUGAAUAAUCGUUUAAACCACGAUUAUUCUAAACGAUUGAGGAGCAAUCGUCAGCCUGCGGGUAGGCUGCAGGAGGCCCGCGGCAACGCGCUGGCCCUAGAUAAAUGAACGCACUCGACAGAAUUCGGCUUACAGGCCCACCUGAAUA
RNAcentral lists this RNase P RNA (424 nucleotides) under bacterium. RNAcentral describes it as "RNase P RNA component class A". It matches the Rfam family "Bacterial RNase P class A". From Rfam's summary of the family: Ribonuclease P (RNase P) is a ubiquitous endoribonuclease, found in archaea, bacteria and eukarya as well as chloroplasts and mitochondria. Its best characterised activity is the generation of mature 5'-ends of tRNAs by cleaving the 5'-leader elements of precursor-tRNAs. Cellular RNase Ps are ribonucleoproteins. The record is from RNAcentral.